UGGGCCUGGUAAAAGUUGCAGGCGAAGCCCACAAGCGAACUGCCCAAGAGUAAAAAGCGAGGCCCAUGAGCAGAACGGCGAAAGCUAAGGCGGUUUUGUUUCGUGUUCGGUUUAGUACCACCUCGGCUGCCGAGGGAGAUGUGCGAGAGGGGCGAGGGUAUAAAGAGGGGAGGUGGGGGAACGGGAUAAGCAUCUUUGCGCUUGGGGCAAUGACGCAGCUAGUGAGGAUAUAGCAAUAGAGUCGGGUAGUUGUUUAUCUGCACGGUGGAAUGGACAAUUGUAAGGAAAAUUGUAUACCUUUGUGAUACUGCAUUGAUGAUUAGCUCGCCUGAUGUUGCAUAAAGUAAUGGGAUAUACUUCCAGUAAUCAAGCAAAUUAACUAUUAAAAAUUUUCUCUCGUGAUCUCUAUUAUUUAAUACUGGUAACAUCUUAGUUACUGAGUGUUCAAUAAUAUCAAUCCAACAUUUAAUCUAUUCUACCCAAAAGUGCAGUCACAAAUGCCAUCAAGCUCACCAGAACCUUAUCUGAUCUUCAACAUAUUGCUGCUAUAAUGAAAUCAUGUGUUCUAGCUUGUCCAGCAUGGCAACAUUUGCAGGAACAAAUGAACUUCAUACCAUGCAAGGUGAUGUGGUAUUGGCUCAGCAACGAACACGGCAACAAUUCACACCUUUGUUUUGAAUUCUCUGGCAACCUCUUGGAUCAUAGAUUCAAGAUCUUCAAAAUCAUAAGCCUCUGCAAAGGUGAAGAUCUACAACAAAUUUACAAGACCAUCCAAUUAUCAGUAUAACAAACAUCAAGAAUUAAUUUUAUUUGAACUACAUAGCUUGUUGCUUUGAUCCUCUCUAGUAACAUAUGGCAUAUAUCCAGUUUGACUUAUUCAUACAAUAAGAAAAGCAGAAGUGCCAACCUGCAGCUUAAUAGGGCUUCCAUAAACUUUACCAGAGUUGAGAUCAGUGAAUACAGUAAUUAGUGGGAACUUGUUAAGCUCCACAAACUGUAUUAUUGCUUUU
Long non-coding RNA from Oryza brachyantha (malo sina), 1010 nucleotides. RefSeq lists it as uncharacterized. Lineage: Eukaryota; Viridiplantae; Streptophyta; Magnoliopsida; Poales; Poaceae. The transcript has 3 exons. The record is from RefSeq and is a predicted model, not a curated record.